UUUUAGUAAUCACAGAUCCGCCAGUCGAUUCGCUCCGGUGCUCUCUCCCUCAAAACUCAUUUCUAGGGUUUCGCCCAACACCACCAUCGACGACGGAACGAGGAGACGAUCGCUCAUGGACGAGAGCCACAUCACCGCUAAUCACACGCCCUUGCCUCAUCCUGUUUCGAUUCCAGAAGACGGAGAUUUACCUCUCCGAUCUCCAAUACGGCGUGCCGUUUCUGGUUCGAGAUACCGCUCCGGUCUUCGAUUCGAUCGAUAUGAGUGAUGCCGAUUGGGAGUUCAUUGCUGAGGAGCACGAACGAUGCGGUUAGGGUUUCGUAUAAUUUCCUUACAGGAGCUGGAUGCCCAUAACUGGGGAGUUGUCACUACAAAACAUAGAAGAUCGUUGAUUUGGAUUUGAAGUGAUGGAUCCUUCCUGCAAGUUGACUGAAAGCAUGAUCGGUAUGUUGUGAUAAGAAACAGGUGAUCAGGAAUUUGACAAUUGGUUGAAGUAGAGCACAACAUAGCAUAACAUGGUUUACCCUCAAGGCUCAUGUGAGGAUUAAUAAAGGUAAUAAUUAACCAUUAGUUACAGAGAUUUUUACUGCUUUUGGCAUUGGUCUGGGUUAGCGAUUCUUAUCUUCUAUUAUUUAUAUACAAAUAUUCUGGCGCAUUAAAGAAAUAUCAAGGACUUGAACUUUGAUUUGUGGGUAUGUUCGUGAAGUAUAAUGUUCUAAUGAGUGCAUUCCAUUGUCUGUAAUUUCCCUUGUGUCUGUUAAACUGUUAGUAAUGCGUUUAUGAUCAAUCCAGGAAGUUUUUUUUCCCUAUUGAUACUGUUUUAUUUUAGAGGGAAAAGGAUAGUAUUUGCUUGUCUUGUCUUGGUAUUUUAUGCCCCUCGGGUUGCUGUCUUGUUUGUUGCUUUUUAAAUUCGGUGUCUGCUCAAGUGAUUCUGUUACGGUGUUCCAUUUCCAGUGCUGCUGUAUCGUCUCUGUUUCUGAAAUGGGCGUGGACUCUGGGAUGCAUUUUUAACUAUUUUGUAUUAUGAGUAUAGUCCAAAUUGCUUGCACAUUUUAUUUAUUUAUUUAUUAUCUUGUCAACUUUCUUAUCGAAA
This is a long non-coding RNA of Rosa chinensis, 1093 nucleotides long. RefSeq lists it as uncharacterized. The transcript is spliced from 4 exons. Lineage: Eukaryota; Viridiplantae; Streptophyta; Magnoliopsida; Rosales; Rosaceae. The record is from RefSeq and is a predicted model, not a curated record.